UUACCUGGUUUGAUCCUGCCAGUAGUCAUAUGCUUGUCUCAAAGAUUAAGCCAUGCAUGUCUAAGUACAGGCCGAAACAAGGCGAAACCGCGAAUGGCUCAUUAAAUCAGUUAUGGUUCAUUGGAUCUUACCUUGUUUUACUUGGAUAACUGUGGUAAUUCUAGAGCUAAUACGUGAUACCCCAGCUCCGACCGCAAGGAAAGAGCGCUUUUAUUAGAUCAAAACCAAUCGGGCUUCGGUCCGUUCUCACUGUGGUGACUCUGAAUAACUUUGAGCUGAGCGCAUGGUCUUCGAACCGGCGCCAUAUCCUUCAAGUGUCUGCCUUAUCAGCUUUCGAUUGUAGGUUAUGCGCCUACAAUGGCUAUAACGGGUAACGGGGAAUCAGGGUUCGAUUCCGGAGAGGGAGCCUGAGAAACGGCUACCACAUCUAAGGAAGGCAGCAGGCACGCAAAUUACCCACUCCCGGCCCGGGGAGGUAGUGACGAAAAAUAACGAUGCGGGACUCUUCCGAGGCCUCGCAAUCGGAAUGAGCACACUUUAAAUCCUUUAACGAGGAUCUAUUGGAGGGCAAGUCUGGUGCCAGCAGCCGCGGUAAUUCCAGCUCCAAUAGCGUAUAUUAAAGUUGCUGCGGUUAAAAAGCUCGUAGUUGGAUCUCAGUUCCGGACCGACGGUUCACCGCCCGGUGCUUACUGUCGGCUUCCGAACAGCCGCACGCCGGCUCGGCCAGGGUGCUCUUCAUCGAGUGUCCUGGUUUCGGCCGGCACGUUUACUUUGAAAAAAUUAGAGUGCUCAGCGCAGGCUGCAACGCCUGAAUAAUCUGUGCAUGGAAUAAUGGAAUAGGACCUCGGUUCUAUUUUGUUGGUUUUCGGAACCCGAGGUAAUGAUUAAUAGGAACUGUCGGGGGCAUUCGUAUUGCGACGUUAGAGGUGAAAUUCUUGGAUCGUCGCAAGACGGACUACUGCGAAAGCAUUUGCCAAGAAUGUUUUCAUUAAUCAAGAACGAAAGUUAGAGGUUCGAAGGCGAUCAGAUACCGCCCUAGUUCUAACCAUAAACGAUGCCAACCAGCGAUCCGCCGGCGUUAUUCCCAUGACUCGGCGGGCAGCUUCCGGGAAACCAAAGUCUCUGGGUUCCGGGGGAAGUAUGGUUGCAAAGCUGAAACUUAAAGGAAUUGACGGAAGGGCACCACCAGGAGUGGAGCCUGCGGCUUAAUUUGACUCAACACGGGGAACCUCACCAGGCCCGGACACCGGAAGGAUUGACAGAUUGAGAGCUCUUUCUCGAUUCGGUGGGUGGUGGUGCAUGGCCGUUCUUAGUUGGUGGAGCGAUUUGUCUGGUUAAUUCCGAUAACGAACGAGACUCA
RNAcentral lists this ribosomal RNA (1360 nucleotides) under Paraiberobathynella cf. fagei ABI-2012. RNAcentral's name for it is "SSU rRNA". It matches the Rfam family "Eukaryotic small subunit ribosomal RNA", at positions 1 to 1344 of the family's 1831-position model. The record is from RNAcentral. Lineage: Eukaryota; Metazoa; Arthropoda; Malacostraca; Bathynellacea; Parabathynellidae.